RNAcentral lists this unclassified non-coding RNA (227 nucleotides) under Hevea brasiliensis (rubber tree). Lineage: Eukaryota; Viridiplantae; Streptophyta; Magnoliopsida; Malpighiales; Euphorbiaceae. The record is from RNAcentral.
UAAAAAAAAAAAACAAACAAACAAAUUGCCCCUUUAAGAGAUAUUUUGAAAAAUCACAGUUUCAAAUUAAAAUUUAUAAAAGAAAAACUGUGUUUAAAUUCUAGAGUCGUCUUUACUGGAAGAGUUUUAUUUGAAUACAUCAUAUAAUUAAAUAAAAAAAUAUAAAAAAAGCUAAGGAAUAUUUGUUUGACAACAGUAGUACCGAGCAUUUGUUUGACAACAGUAGU